Molecule: microRNA precursor, 84 nt
Filed under: Rhodnius prolixus
Lineage: Eukaryota; Metazoa; Arthropoda; Insecta; Hemiptera; Reduviidae
Description: bantam microRNA precursor family
Rfam family: bantam microRNA precursor family
Source: Rfam by way of RNAcentral
GAACAGAUACAAAACUGGCUUUCACUCUGAUCUGACAGAGUUUUUUUUCUUUUCUGAGAUCAUUGUGAAAGCUGAUUUUGUCGA